GAUCCUGGCUCAGGAUGAACGCUAGCUACAGGCUUAACACAUGCAAGUCGAGGGGCAGCGGGAUUGAAGCUUGCUUCAAUCGCCGGCGACCGGCGCACGGGUGAGUAACGCGUAUCCAACCUUCCGUACACUCAGGAAUAGCCUUUCGAAAGAAAGAUUAAUACCUGAUGGUAUGAUGAGAUUGCAUGAUAGCAUCAUUAAAGAUUUAUCGGUGUACGAGUGGGG
Molecule: ribosomal RNA, 225 nt
Filed under: uncultured bacterium
Lineage: Bacteria
Description: partial 16S ribosomal RNA
Rfam family: Bacterial small subunit ribosomal RNA
Source: RNAcentral